RNAcentral lists this ribosomal RNA (467 nucleotides) under uncultured bacterium. RNAcentral's name for it is "bacterial SSU rRNA". It matches the Rfam family "Bacterial small subunit ribosomal RNA", at positions 329 to 793 of the family's 1533-position model. The record is from RNAcentral.
UUCCAGACUCCUACGGGAGGCAGCAGUGAGGAAUAUUGGUCAAUGGGCUUACGCCUGAACCAGCCAAGUCGCGUGAGGGAAGACUGCCCUAUGGGUUGUAAACCUCUUUUGUCAGGGAGCAACGCCGGCUACGUGUAGCCGGACUGAGAGUACCUGAAGAAAAAGCAUCGGCUAACUCCGUGCCAGCAGCCGCGGUAAUACGGAGGAUGCGAGCGUUAUCCGGAUUUAUUGGGUUUAAAGGGUGCGUAGGCGGGAUGCCAAGUCAGCGGUAAAAAUGCGGUGCUCAACGCCGUCGAGCCGUUGAAACUGGCGUUCUUGAGUGGGCGAGAAGUAUGCGGAAUGCGUGGUGUAGCGGUGAAAUGCAUAGAUAUCACGCAGAACUCCGAUUGCGAAGGCAGCAUACCGGCGCCCUACUGACGCUCAGGCACGAAAGCGUGGGUAUCGAACAGGAUUAGAUACCCCGGUAA